UAUUUCCCGCUUCUGGNGGNGNUAAUGGUUUAUUUUGGUUGCUGUUUCAUCAGUAUUAAUAAUAUUCUGUUGGUAGUGAAAUGUUAGUCGUCUUUGGUGGUUUCUGGUUUUCCAAGAAAUGAAUUUAAUUCAUGCGUCUUAUCUAGUUUGUUUAGUUGUUUACAUUUUUUUAUUUGGCGUUAAGAUUGAGGGGGAUUAGCUCUUCUUUUUAUUCUUAUAAUUUUUGUUUUUAUCUAGUUUUGUGGAUUUUAUGGUGAUUUUCAAUUUGAUUAUGUUAAAAUUUUGUUUUUUCUUUUUUCUAUUUUAUUUGGGUUUAAUUUUUUUAUUGGGAUGUUUUCUUUAUUUUUUUUUGUUUAGUAAUUAUUGUGGAAUUAGUAAAUUUUUUGUUUAUUUUAUUUUUUGGGUGUUUAAUUCAUUUUAAGGAAUUAGGCAAAUAUUUCAUGUCCGCCUGUUUAUCAAAAACAUCUUUUCUUGUUAGUUUUUGAAGUAUGGCCUGCCCGCUGAUUUUAGGUUGAAGGGCCGCGGUAUUUUGACCGUGCAAAGGUAGCAUAAUCAUUAGUUCUUUAAUUGUGAUCUGGUAUGAAUGGCUUGACGAGGCAUGGGCUGUCUUGGAUUGGGAUUGGUUUAUUGAAUUUGGUUUUUGAGUUAGAAUUCUUAAAUGUUUUUAUGGGACGAGAAGACCCUAUAGAGUUUAACAUUUAUUUAUAUAGCUUGUUUUGGUUUGUUUUGUAGUUGCUUUGUGUUAAUGUUUUGUUGGGGUGAUGGGAAGAAUUUUCUUAACACUUCUUUAUUUUGGUAUAUUGAUUUAUAUUGGUUUUGAU
RNAcentral lists this ribosomal RNA (821 nucleotides) under Macrotermes gilvus. RNAcentral's name for it is "partial 16S ribosomal RNA". The stretch from base 410 to 619 matches the Rfam family "Bacterial large subunit ribosomal RNA", at positions 1697 to 2031 of the family's 2925-position model. Lineage: Eukaryota; Metazoa; Arthropoda; Insecta; Blattodea; Termitidae. The record is from RNAcentral.